This 90-nucleotide transfer RNA is filed under the name Parenemella sanctibonifatiensis. RNAcentral describes it as "Propionibacteriaceae bacterium NML 150081 tRNA-Leu". It matches the Rfam family "tRNA". Rfam says of the family: Transfer RNA (tRNA) molecules are approximately 80 nucleotides in length. Their secondary structure includes four short double-helical elements and three loops (D, anti-codon, and T loops). The record is from RNAcentral. Lineage: Bacteria; Bacillati; Actinomycetota; Actinomycetes; Propionibacteriales; Propionibacteriaceae.
GUCCGGGUGGCGGAAUUGGUAGACGCGCUAGCUUGAGGUGCUAGUGACCUGUUGAGGGUCGUGGAGGUUCAAGUCCUCUCUCGGACACCA